This is a long non-coding RNA of Passer domesticus (house sparrow), 6017 nucleotides long. RefSeq lists it as uncharacterized. The record is from RefSeq and is a predicted model, not a curated record. The transcript has 2 exons. Lineage: Eukaryota; Metazoa; Chordata; Aves; Passeriformes; Passeridae.
GUGACAAUCAGUUUGUGACAAGCAUGGCAGGCCUCAGCUGGCCUGGCCCAGGGAGCAGGAGAGCAGCAAGGGCAGGCAAGGACAGCCCUGGGAGCAGGACUCCAUCUCAUGGGGGAGCUCUGCAAACCUGCCUUGGUGCUUUUCCUUCUGGAAAACUCCGUGCAGCUCAAAACACAGAUUUUAGAGCCUCUUACACAACAGCCCUGCCGAGCUAGACGAGUGGCAGUGUCCCAGAGGAAGCUCUGCUGCUCUGAGUGAUGUGUGUGACACAGAUCAGAGCUGACACCGAGUGGCAGCUGUGCCCCUUGGCAGAGCCCCUCGGGACACGGCUCCUCUGCCUGGCCCCGCUGCUGGGAGCAGGCUCUGGGGCUCACUCACUGCUGGGAAUGGGCUCUGGAGCUCUUUCAGUGCUGGGAGCAGCCUCUGGAGAUCACCCAGUGCUGGGAAUGGGCUCUGGAGCUCUUUCAGUGCUGGGAAUGGGCUUUGGAGCUCUAUCACUGCUGGGAGCAGCUCUGGAGAUCACCCAGUGCUGGGAAUGGGCUCUGGAGCUCUCCCACUGCUGGGAAUGGUUUCUGGGGCUCUCUCACUGCUGGGAUUGGGCUCUGGAGCUCUCUCCAUGCUGGGAUUGGGCUCUGGGGCUCACUCAGUGCUGGGAGCAGCCUCUGGAGCUCUCUCACUGCUGGGAAUGGGCUCUGGAGCUCUCACUGCACUGCAGGGCUCACAAGGAGCAAAUCCCUCCCAAGGGAAUAGAAGCCAGUCAGUCAUUCAGCCCAAACCAUGCCACUUCCAGUGUCCUGCAAAACACCACAAGGCUCUCAGGAGACUUCAGCCAUUCCCAAAGCUGUGGUCAACGAAUUAUGGUCAUUUAGCCCAAACCAUGUCACUUCCUCUGUCCUGCAAAACACCACAAGGCUCUCAAGAGGCUUCAGCCAUUCCUGAAGCUACCUGAGAUAGACAAGAAGGAGGUUUGAGGAGCAAUCUCAUUAAAUAACACAAAAUUCAUGGUCAAACCUGCAUUGUGGUAUUUCUUGGGUAACUAUCUGAAAAGCAAAUCAACACACAGCAGCAGGAAAGGGCCAAACAGCAGGAAAAGGCCAAACCUCCUCUUCUUGCAAGUUGUGUUCUUAACUCUGAGAUGCAGCUCUGUGCCCUGCCCUGCAUGGCUGAGCAUGUGCCUGCAGGGACACUGCCCAGACCCCACAUGAAGCCAUUAGCUCCUUUAUCAGCAUGUCAUUGCUUUUUAUAGCAGUGUUUAUAUAAAGCCUUCAAAAGUGAAAUUGCAGCCAGAUGGACCCUUCCUCAGCAGCAUCUUCCCGUGGUGUGGGGAAAGGCACAACCCAUGGACACUGCAACAGGCCAGAUCAAGCUUAUUUCACACCCAGGAGGAAAAGUGUUAGAGACUUCAAAUCACGCUGCAGUGAUGAAAACAGGGCUGCCCACAUCCAGAGUCUGAUAUCUGAGCUGGCUUUACUCUGUGUUCAGUGUCUCCUUCUCAUAAACAAAUUGGAAUCAUUCAGGUGGGAGCAUAAAGCAGGCAGGAUUUUGUGAGGUCCAAAUACCCAGGUCAGGAUUAAUUCAGUGCAGAAUUCAGGGUAAUAAUCCAGGUCAGGAUUAAUUCAGUGCAGAAAGCCAUUGCAUUGCUGAAGACCCCCUUAGCCCCUGGGCUGCUGUGACACAGGUGGGCUGAGCUGGUGUGGGCUCCCUGAAUGACCUGUGCAGAGCAGGGAGUGCUCCUGGGGUGAGGUGAGAGGCUAAAAUGGUCAUUAUUGUUGCUCAGAGGGUCUGGGAGCUGUGGAAGCAGCAGAUUCUGUGUACCAGAAAUAUUCCAACUCAGCUGAGGCUGAAAUUUGGAGAGGAGGAGAUGGGCAAAGCAAGGGCACCUGUCCCCUGGGGUGGCCUGCACUGGGCUGGAGAUGCCCUCAGAGGAGCUGGGUGAGGGUAGGUGCAUGACACAGUGUCUGGGGGACAAAGGUGCUGUUACCAAAGGGGUAAAUCCCCAAAAGUUGGCCCCCAAAGGUAAAUCACGUGCUAGGACAGGUGUUUACACAGUGAGCACUGUGAGCUUGACGCAGUCACGAAUCCUCCCCCUCUGCUCUCUCAGAUCCAGACAUGCCUGGCCACAGGCAGGGAUGCCUCGGGCUAUGAUCCUUUGUAAAAUCCCUGUGUUUCUAGUCUGGCCUUAAGCAUAAACAGGAAAAGCAACAGCAAUCAGAGCAGCCCCAGCACGACCCUGUCUCUGACAGGUCCCCAGUAGCAGAUCCAGAGACAACAGCCUCGUGCAGCUGCAUGCAGCAGCCCUGCCCCGCUGCCUUUCAUCUGCUGCUCAUCCUCAGCACAAAAAGUCCCUGAUUUGAGGAGUUCAGUUCAUUCCCUGGAGAAGUAACCUCAGCCUACUGCUUAUUGUCACCCCUCUGGCCAUUCCCACAGAGGAGCCUUGAUCAGAAGGGCCACGAGAGCUGAACUCAGGUAUUCAGGGAGGUCUGGGGAGCCCAGGCGAUGCAGAGAAGCUCCUGAGCCCUUUAUUCAUAACAAACAGGGAGCCUGACAAGUGCCAGACCUCCUCCUUUCAGCAACAGUGAACUGCUAUUGAUGUUUAUUCAUAGAAAUUAUUACUGAUACAAGCAAAGCUCCAUUGCACACCGUGGCCCAUCCGUUCUGAUUUAUAAAUUCCAGUUGUCUGGCAAAGCAAUGCCUGCAAAUCUUCCCUGUUGUUUGUGGGCAGAAUCCCAUAAAACCAGCAGAAUGAGUUGUUCUGGACAUUUUGCACAAACUUGUUCACAAAUAAAACUUGUCUUCUGCUGCCACAGUGCACAUCACAUUGCCAUUCAAUCUGAAACUUCGGGUGGGAAUAAAAGAGAUGUGGCAAAUACUGGGGUUUCUGAUGGAAAUCCCUGCCAAUGGGAACUGUGGAGGACUUGUAAUAUCCAUCCUUAGGAUGACUCCUGACAGCUGAUUUAACAAUUCCACAAUAAGUGGGCAUUUUCUGACAGUAAAUUCUGGCAGAAGUGCACAUAGCAUCACACUGCCAGCUCCCCAUUAAUGCUCUGCACUGGUGGAUGUUUCAUCUCAUGUGUCAUCAUCUGGGGCUUCAUUUGGAUGUCACUGGGCCAGGGACAGGGAGCAAACAAUUUAAUUGGAUGAAGUGUCCUCCACCUUGUGUUCAGACACUGCAGGACCUCAGUGCUGGGGACAGGAUGGAAAUAAACCAGAAGAGCUUUUCCUUUUGUGCUCAGAUCACUGCUGGGUGGAUUCAUGACUGGGUCAUACUCAGGGACAGGAUGGAAAUAAACCAGAAGAGCUUUUCCUUUUGUCCUCACAUCACUGUUGGGUGGAUUCAUGACUGGGUCAUACUCAGGGACAGGAUGGAAAUAAACCAGAAGAGCUUUUCCUUUUGUGCUCAGAUCACUGCUGGGUGGAUUCAUGACUGGGUCAUACUCAGGGAUCCAGGUGAAGGAUCUGUGUGUUGGGAGUUCAGGUUCUCUGUGUGCUCAGCAGGUGUUCCUGCCCCUUGCUGGCUGCUUCACUUGCCAGGAAUCCGUAGGAUAGGGCUUGUUUCUCACAGCAGGGCCAUUCUCACCUGAAUCCUCCAGCCUCCACAUCCCUCAGGUACAAUUAAUGGCAGUUCCGAUGCUGGAGAUCAUUCUUAAAGUGAAGAUUAUAAAGCCCCAACAGGACCUCAUGGCCCUCAUUCCUCCCCUUCAGCUCACAGCUGGGUUUUUCCUGCCAAUUAAAAAAAAAACCUGGGUUUUUCUGUUCUUAAUUCACCCCAGUAUUGAAUAAACCCAUUGACAAAAACGAUGUCCAAAUAGUGAGAUUGCAAGAGCAACUGUUAAGAGCUGGAGUCAGACACUCAGCACUGACCCUGCUCUCCUUGAGCAUCCCUGCUCCUGUGAGUGCUUCCCUGCCCCUGGGCAGGCACGGGGCUCUCACAGAGACCCCCACCCCUGCCCCAGCAGCAGCCCCUCCUCUCUGAGCUGCAGCAGAGCCCGGCUGCCCCAUCUUCAUCCCCAGGACAGCCAGGCUGCUCUGCAGGGAAAGGUGCAGGGAGCUCAGGUGUGAGCCCAGCACACCCCAGGGAGCAGGAGCAGGGCACAGCAGCCAAGCUAGGAGAGUAGGAAGCAGAGACAGGGCCCAAGGAAGGAGCCCCAGUGCUGGCAGUGGCAAGAGACACUGAGGGAUGACAGUGCCAGACCUGGGUAACAAUUAAAUCAGUAAAACACACACACACACUAUUUCUGUCUCUCAGGCAACACACACAUGAUUAGUUUAUGUAAAUACCUAACGCAGAUUGGCAAAAUAAGCACAGAGGCAGCUUCUUUUCCCGAAUAAAUAUUUAUCUUGGUGCUUAUGCUGUUCAUGGGCUCCUCCAUGACCAGCCACUGCCCACGGCUUGGCUCUGGCUGAGGUCAGGCACUGCAGGAUUCCCACGGCUGCACAAGAGCUGUCCUGACCCACAGGCCACAUCUCCCUGAUAAAUGAGAACUUGGAGAUAAGACUUGGCAUUUUCUGACGAAAACCAAGUAUCUCUGCAGCAAAUACCACCAUCCCUGUGCUGAACACCCCGUGAACUCACAGCUGCUCCAGCCAAGUGAAACGCUGGAACUGGGUGAAUGAGGAGAUCCAAACCCUUGGAGGUGUGUUGGAGAAGUGUCUGCAUUUGAUGUGUAGCUGCCUUGGCAGAAUUCAUCUUUUUGGCCUCAAUUCAGCAGAACACUUAAGAACAGGGACAGGACUUGGAAGACGUGUGAGCUCCAGUAAAACAGAGGUGCAGGCUUAAGUGGUUUUGCUGGACAAGGGUCUUUAAACCACUGGCACUUGCUCUAAUUCCUCAUCUUUAAUAAAAUCCACCUGACUGCAACAGCACAAGAGCCAGGGCUGAGUAAAGGAAGCAGCCAGAGUCUGGUAAUUGACUGCCCAGUUUGGAAUGUCAGAGCACAACAAAUCAAAGCUUCACCCUUGGUGGGUUUGAUUUAGAUCCUCUCUGUCAGCAAAGCCUUAAUUAGAGGCCACCUUCAGAAAAAUCUGCAUUGAUAAAAAGGAUAUGGAAGUGCAGCCCUGUGCUGGCUGUAAUUGCUCAGGACACACCCCAGCCAGGCUCCAGAAUCCCUGCUCUGUCCUGCCUGAAUGUGACAUUCCCUGCAAGGACACUGGGCUGGGAGCACAUCACAGGAGCUGCUGGAGCCACACAGUAAAAUUUUAUUUCAGCUCUAAAAGCAGUUGGAUCCCUGGGCAUCCAUGCAGAGUUCUCUCUCUUCAUUUUCUGUGGCAAAGCACAAACUCCAGGCUGUUCUUUAGCUCACUGUUAUUGUUCUGACAAAUUUGGCUGAGGCUCCCUCAGCCUGGCCAUUGCCAGCGAGCUCUGACCACAGAACAUUUGCUCCCUCCUUCAGAAAAACCCAUAGCCAAGUCCUUCAACAUCUUCUUUGCCUUUCCCUGGUGAGUCAGGACACCCACACAGAAGUGAUGGAGGAGGGAAAAUGCUGCAUUUCUUUUGCCAUUUCUGCCUUGUGACUGUGCGGAGCACGAAGCCAAAAUUUCCAGGUGCGCUGGAAGGUGGUGGGAGCAGCCAAGCUCCAAACCUGCCAGGACGGUCCCCAGGAUGCAGAACAACAUCUCCAGCUCAGGCUGGGCAGCCACCAAUGCCACCUCCAACCCCCUUCAGCUUCUGUCCCUGUCACCACAGCCACAGCUGGCACAAGGGGCUCACUGGCAAAAUAUUGUCCCCAUUUUCCACAGCUUUUCACAAACGCCAAAAUGAAGCUUUCCUGUACCAGGCUGAUGUAAAAAUGUAUUUCCAUCUGGAAAAUGAGAAGGAAAGGAAACCAAAGGAAAGCAGGGCGCAGCAGGAGAGCCAUGUUAGAAGAAAAAACAUGGCUCUCUUUCAUUUUUACCCUUGUUACAUCAUUCCUGAAUGCCUCUGUUCAGGAGCUCUAAGGCUGCACUCGUUGGAGGGAUCCCUUACACACACACACACACACACACACACACACACACACACACACACACACGUGUGUAAA